Molecule: ribosomal RNA, 252 nt
Filed under: uncultured bacterium
Lineage: Bacteria
Description: partial 16S ribosomal RNA
Rfam family: Bacterial small subunit ribosomal RNA
Source: RNAcentral
CGUAGGCAGCGAGCGUUGUUCGGAGUUACUGGGCGUAAAGGGUGUGUAGGCGGUUGUUUAAGUUUGGUGUGGAAUCUCCCGGCUCAACUGGGAGGGUGCGCCGAAUACUGAAUGACUUGGAGUGCGGGAGAGGAGAGUGGAAUUCCUGGUGUAGCGGUGAAAUGCGUAGAUAUCAGGAGGAACACCGGUGGUGUAGACGGCUCUCUGGACCGUAACUGACGCUGAGACACGAAAGCGUGGGUAGCAAACAGG